UGGGGGAUAUUGCACAAUGGGCGAAAGCCUGAUGCAGCGACGCCGCGUGGGGGAUGAAGGCUUUCGGGUUGUAAACCUCUUUCGCUAUCGAACAAGGCCCGCUUAGGGUGGGUGGAGGGUAGGUGGAGAAGAAGCGCCGGCUAACUACGUGCCAGCAGCCGCGGUAAUACGUAGGGCGCGAGCGUUGGCCGGAAUUAUUGGGCGUAAAGGGCUUGUAGGCGGCUUGUUGCGCCUGCUGUGAAAACGCGGGGCUUAACUUCGCGCGUGCAGUGGGUACGGGCAGGCUUGAGUGUGGUAGGGGUGACUGGAAUUCCAGGUGUAGCGGUGGAAUGCGCAGAUAUCUGGAGGAACACCGAUGGCGAAGGCAGGUCACUGGGCCAUUACUGACGCUGAGGAGCGAAAGCAUGGGUAGCGAACAGG
Molecule: ribosomal RNA, 420 nt
Filed under: bacterium
Lineage: Bacteria
Description: partial 16S ribosomal RNA
Rfam family: Bacterial small subunit ribosomal RNA
Source: RNAcentral